CUGUUCAGUGUUUACAGUAAAGUUGAAACUACAAGAUCUGUGGGAUGAUUUGGAAAAGAAAUACAAAUCUUUCAUUGUCGGCUUUGGAACUUCUUCACAGUAAGAUUUCUAAAUUUUGUGAUGGUUGAAAUCACAGGAAUUGUCAACCGGAGGUGCUCGCAUAUCGGCGGUACGUGGUGUAGCUGCUACAUCCCAGCAUCAGGGAGGUCGGUUCGUGUUCUCAUGCGGUACGAGGUCUGCACUUCAAGAAAUAAACUGUUAAAACUGUCACAAGCUGUCGUUGAAUCCUGCUUUUCAGUCCAGAUCUUUGUGUCUAGUUUAUGACUGAGGAGCGAACAUUGAACACCUGGGGUAUGCGGUUAUCUCGAGAAUGCGCCUUUGGUGAAGAUGCAUUGGUCACAAGCAUCAUGACUAUCUUUUGGUACCACUUGCUUGUUUAAGAAUUGUAUUAUCGGGUUUAAUCAUGUACUCUUUGUUUUAGUAGAUGUUGUAAGAAUUUCAAGAGAUGGAUCACUGCGUGUCUUGCGAUGAUUUCAUUCUCACAAUGGUCUAAUAUACAAUGGAGGUUUCAAUUCGGUAGGAUUAAGUCUAAGUUAGUGACUAAAUUUGAUAGUAGAUUGCCUUAUUGUAUUAGUGGUAUAAAAGCCUGUGGUCAAAUACUUGUAUUCAGAUUUUGGUGAAAUGAAUGUUGUUGACUGAGUAAAAAAAAGAAAGAAAAAAUUAAAUCUAACAAGAAACAUAUAGAAAAAACAUUGUAGCCAUUCCCUGUUACUCAUAUUUACAAAAGAUAAAAAUACAAAAAUUACUCCAACGCUCUUAUCUAACCAUUGAUAAUAUUUUAUCAUAAUCUUUCCACUGAUUAAACCAAAAAACGAAAC
This is a long non-coding RNA of Brassica rapa (field mustard), 878 nucleotides long. RefSeq lists it as uncharacterized. NCBI's taxonomy places the organism in Eukaryota, Viridiplantae, Streptophyta, Magnoliopsida, Brassicales, Brassicaceae. The record is from RefSeq and is a predicted model, not a curated record.